GGAUGUGAGGGCGAUCUGGCUGCGACAUCUGUCACCCCAUUGAUCGCCAGGGUUGAUUCAGCUGAUCUGUCCCCUUCCUCCCUCACCACUCCAUGUGCUGCGUCCCUCCCGACGCUGCGCACUCGGUUGAAGAGGAAGGCCUUCCACAAUAGAGACGGACGUAUAGGAGUAGCUGCGCUCCCCUGCUAGAAUCUCCAAACAAGCUCUCAAAGACAAACUGAAAUAUUUGUUCUUCCUAAAUAUAAAUCCCACAUUUUAUUUUUCCUAUA
This 269-nucleotide small nuclear RNA is filed under the name Erinaceus europaeus (western European hedgehog). RNAcentral describes it as "7SK RNA (ENSEEUG00000020209.1)". It matches the Rfam family "7SK RNA". Rfam says of the family: 7SK was discovered as an abundant small nuclear RNA in the mid-70s but a possible function has only recently been suggested. Two independent studies have found that 7SK RNA binds the CDK9/cyclin T complex (known as elongation factor P-TEFb). Lineage: Eukaryota; Metazoa; Chordata; Mammalia; Eulipotyphla; Erinaceidae. The record is from RNAcentral.